This 681-nucleotide ribosomal RNA is filed under the name Triticum aestivum (bread wheat). RNAcentral's name for it is "partial small subunit ribosomal RNA". The record is from RNAcentral. Lineage: Eukaryota; Viridiplantae; Streptophyta; Magnoliopsida; Poales; Poaceae.
AUGAGGUUGUUUGUGAGCUUUCAUAAUGGGACUUUGGAUGUGCAACGUCUUAACUAUGGGGUGAUCACGCUUUUGCCCAAAUCUACGGGCGCGGAUAAAAUCCAGCAAUUUAGACCUAUAUGUCUCCUGAGAUAUCCAUACAAGCUUAUUACUAAAGUUUUGGAUCGGCGAGGGGAGAGAUAUGCUGAUAAGCUCAUUAGCACGACCCAAAACACUUUUAUUAAGGGGAGAAGCAUUAUGGAUGGGGUGUUGUCGCUGCAUGAAAUUUUGAAUUAUACCCAUGUGAAAAAGAGAAUGGGGGUUGUCCUGAAGCUCGACUUUGAGAAAGCGUAUGAUAAGGCGAACUGGGACUUCCUGUUGGAAUGUCACAAGCUUCGAGGUUUUAGUGACACGUGGUGCGACUGGAUUAAACAGAUCUUACACAAUGGUACAGUAAGUAUCAAACUUAAUAACCAGGUUGGUCCUUAUUUCCAGAGUGCUAAGGGUGUUCGUCAAGGGGAUCCCCACUCCCCUUUCCUGUUUAAUCUAGCUGCUGAUUGUCUUGCGAAGAUGAUCACCAAUGCCCAAAAAAUAACUUGCUGGUGGGUUUGGCUUCAGAUCUUAUCUCUAAUGGAGUUGAGGUGCUCCAGCAUGCAGACAAUACUAUUGUCUGUUUGGAACUCGAUGUUGAUAAGGCAGUAA